Molecule: ribosomal RNA, 1435 nt
Filed under: uncultured organism
Description: 16S ribosomal RNA
Rfam family: Bacterial small subunit ribosomal RNA
Source: RNAcentral
CAGGCUUAACACAUGCAAGUCGAGGGGCAUCAGGAAGAAAGCUUGCUUUCUUUGCUGGCGACCGGCGCACGGGUGAGUAACACGUAUCCAACCUGCCCUUUACUCGGGGAUAGCCUUUCGAAAGAAAGAUUAAUACCCGAUGGCAUAAUGAUUCCGCAUGGUUUCAUUAUUAAAGGAUUCCGGUAAAGGAUGGGGAUGCGUUCCAUUAGGUUGUUGGUGAGGUAACGGCUCACCAAGCCUUCGAUGGAUAGGGGUUCUGAGAGGAAGGUCCCCCGCAUUGGAACUGAGACACGGUCCAAACUCCUACGGGAGGCAGCAGUGAGGAAUAUUGGUCAAUGGGCGCUAGCCUGAACCAGCCAAGUAGCGUGAAGGAUGAAGGCUCUAUGGGUCGUAAACUUCUUUUAUAUAAGAAUAAAGUGCAGUAUGUAUACUGUUUUGUAUGUAUUAUAUGAAUAAGGAUCGGCUAACUCCGUGCCAGCAGCCGCGGUAAUACGGAGGAUCCGAGCGUUAUCCGGAUUUAUUGGGUUUAAAGGGAGCGUAGGUGGACUGGUAAGUCAGUUGUGAAAGUUUGCGGCUCAACCGUAAAAUUGCAGUUGAUACUGUCAGUCUUGAGUACAGUAGAGGUGGGCGGAAUUCGUGGUGUAGCGGUGAAAUGCUUAGAUAUCACGAAGAACUCCGAUUGCGAAGGCAGCUCACUGGACUGCAACUGACACUGAUGCUCGAAAGUGUGGGUAUCAAACAGGAUUAGAUACCCUGGUAGUCCACACAGUAAACGAUGAAUACUCGCUGUUGCGGAUAUACAGUAAGCGGCCAAGCGAAAGCAUUAAGUAUUCCACCUGGGGAGUACGCCGGCAACGGUGAAACUCAAAGGAAUUGACGGGGGCCCGCACAAGCGGAGGAACAUGUGGUUUAAUUCGAUGAUACGCGAGGAACCUUACCCGGGCUUAAAUUGCAGUGGAAUGAUGUGGAAACAUGUCAGUGAGCAAUCACCGCUGUGAAGGUGCUGCAUGGUUGUCGUCAGCUCGUGCCGUGAGGUGUCGGCUUAAGUGCCAUAACGAGCGCAACCCUUAUCUUUAGUUACUAACAGGUUAUGCUGAGGACUCUAGAGAGACUGCCGUCGUAAGAUGUGAGGAAGGUGGGGAUGACGUCAAAUCAGCACGGCCCUUACGUCCGGGGCUACACACGUGUUACAAUGGGGGGUACAGAAGGCAGCUAGCGGGUGACCGUAUGCUAAUCCCAAAAGCCUCUCUCAGUUCGGAUCGAAGUCUGCAACCCGACUUCGUGAAGCUGGAUUCGCUAGUAAUCGCGCAUCAGCCACGGCGCGGUGAAUACGUUCCCGGGCCUUGUACACACCGCCCGUCAAGCCAUGGGAGCCGGGGGUACCUGAAGUACGUAACCGCAAGGAUCGUCCUAGGGUAAAACUGGUGACUGGGGC